AUACGGAGGAUGCAAGCGUUAUCCGGAUUUAUUGGGUCUAAAGGGUGCGUAGGCUGUUCGGAAAGUCAGGGGUGAAAGCCCGGCGCCUAACGCCGGAACUGCCUUUGAUACUUCCGAGCUGGAAUACGGAUGCCGUGGGAGGAAUGAGUAGUGUAGCGGUGAAAUGCAUAGAUAUUACUCAGAACACCGAUUGCGAAGGCAUCUCACGAAUCCGUCAUUGACGCUGAGGCACGAAAGCGUUGGGAUCAAACAGGAUUAGAUACCCUGGUAGUCCACGCAGUAAACGAUGAUGACUAACCGUCGGCGAUACACAGUCGGUGGCCAAGCGAAAGCGAUAAGUCAUCCACCUGGGGAGUACGUUCGCAAGAAUGAAACUCAAAUGAAUUGACGGGG
RNAcentral lists this ribosomal RNA (393 nucleotides) under uncultured bacterium. Its description in RNAcentral is "partial 16S ribosomal RNA". It matches the Rfam family "Bacterial small subunit ribosomal RNA", at positions 523 to 918 of the family's 1533-position model. The record is from RNAcentral.